This 468-nucleotide ribosomal RNA is filed under the name uncultured bacterium. RNAcentral's name for it is "partial 16S ribosomal RNA". It matches the Rfam family "Bacterial small subunit ribosomal RNA", at positions 28 to 507 of the family's 1533-position model. The record is from RNAcentral.
GACGAACGCUGGCGGCGUGCUUAACACAUGCAAGUCGAACGGAAAGGCCCUGCUUUUGUGGGGUGCUCGAGUGGCGAACGGGUGAGUAACACGUGAGUAACCUGCCCUUGACUUUGGGAUAACUUCAGGAAACUGGGGAUCAUACCGGAUAGGAGCUCCUGCUGCAUGGUGGGGGUUGGAAAGUUUCGGCGGUUGGGGAUGGACUCGCGGCUUAUCAGCUUGUUGGUGUGGUAGUGGCUUACCAAGGCUUUGACGGGUAGCCGGCCUGAGAGGGUGACCGGCCACAUUGGGACUGAGAUACGGCACAGAAGCGUACGGGAGGCAGCGGUGGGGAAUAUUACACAAUGGGCGGGAGCAUGAUGCGGCAACGCCGCGUGCGGGAUGACGGCCUUCGGGUUGUGAACCGCUUUCGCCUGUGACGAAGCGUGAGUGACGGUAAUGAGUAAAAAAGCACCGGCUAACUACGUG